AUUGAAACACCGGUUCGCGUACGAUCACUGAAGUUAAGCAACAUUGAGCCUUAUCAGUACCCAGAUAGGUGACCCCUAGGG
Molecule: non-coding RNA, 81 nt
Organism: Acanthosepion pharaonis
Lineage: Eukaryota; Metazoa; Mollusca; Cephalopoda; Sepiida; Sepiidae
Source: the annotation of a GenBank genome assembly